This 322-nucleotide ribosomal RNA is filed under the name uncultured eukaryote. RNAcentral describes it as "partial 18S ribosomal RNA". It matches the Rfam family "Eukaryotic small subunit ribosomal RNA", at positions 1470 to 1796 of the family's 1831-position model. The record is from RNAcentral.
CCCUUAGAUGUUCUGGGCCGCACGCGUCCUACACUGAGUGGAUCAGCGGGUCAGGUUGCGCGAAAGCGUUUCCUAAUCUUUAAAUCCGCUCGUGAUGGGGAUUGACGGUUGCAAUUUUCUGUCAUGAACGAGGAAUACCUUGUAAGCGCGGGUCAUCAUCCCGCGCUGAAUACGUCCCUGCCCUUUGUACACACCGCCCGUCGCUCCUACCGAUUGAGUGGUCCGGUGAGGCUUUGGGAUCUGAGCGGAAAGAGCGUUUCGCUGUUUCUGCUCGGAAAACUCAGUCGAACCUUAUCAUUUAGAGGAAGGAGAAGUCGUAACA